UCCCUGGUGGCUCACAAGGUUAAAGCGUCUGCCUACGAUGUGGGAGACCUAGGUUCAAUCCCUGGCUCAGGAA
Molecule: transfer RNA, 73 nt
Filed under: Ovis aries (sheep)
Lineage: Eukaryota; Metazoa; Chordata; Mammalia; Artiodactyla; Bovidae
Rfam family: tRNA
About the family: Transfer RNA (tRNA) molecules are approximately 80 nucleotides in length. Their secondary structure includes four short double-helical elements and three loops (D, anti-codon, and T loops).
Source: Rfam by way of RNAcentral